This is a non-coding RNA of Halocaridina rubra (Hawaiian volcano shrimp), 72 nucleotides long. Lineage: Eukaryota; Metazoa; Arthropoda; Malacostraca; Decapoda; Atyidae. The record is from the annotation of a GenBank genome assembly.
UCUUCUGUGGUGUAGUUGGUAGCGCUUUGGUACGGUAAUUUUAUUUCCUAGGUUCGAGUCCAAGUAGGGGAA